RNAcentral lists this non-coding RNA (19 nucleotides) under Mus musculus (house mouse). The record is from RNAcentral. Lineage: Eukaryota; Metazoa; Chordata; Mammalia; Rodentia; Muridae.
GGCCUUUUCUUACCCAAAA